This 421-nucleotide ribosomal RNA is filed under the name uncultured bacterium. RNAcentral describes it as "bacterial SSU rRNA". It matches the Rfam family "Bacterial small subunit ribosomal RNA", at positions 30 to 466 of the family's 1533-position model. The record is from RNAcentral.
AUUGAACGCUGGCGGCAGGCCUAACACAUGCAAGUCGAGCGGCAGCACUUCGGGUGGCGAGCGGCGGACGGGUGAGUAACACGUAGGAAUCUACCUAGUAGUGGGGGAUAGCCCGGGGAAACUCGGAUUAAUACCGCAUACGCUCUACGGAGGAAAGGGGGCUUCGGCUCUCGCUAUUAGAUGAGCCUGCGUCGGAUUAGCUAGUUGGUAGGGUAAAGGCCUACCAAGGCUACGAUCCGUAACUGGUCUGAGAGGAUGAUCAGUCACACUGGAACUGAGACACGGUCCAGACUCCUACGGGAGGCAGCAGUGGGGAAUUUUGGACAAUGGGCGCAAGCCUGAUCCAGCCAUUCCGCGUGCAGGACGAAGGCCUCGGGUUGUAACUAGCUUUGUACGGUAACGAAAGGGACGUCUCUCUAAU